Molecule: ribosomal RNA, 443 nt
Filed under: Carychium nipponense
Lineage: Eukaryota; Metazoa; Mollusca; Gastropoda; Ellobiida; Ellobiidae
Description: partial 16S ribosomal RNA
Rfam family: Bacterial large subunit ribosomal RNA
Source: RNAcentral
AAACAUAGCCUUAAGAAAUGAUUUAAGGUAAGCCCUGCCCAGUGGAAAUAUUCUCAACGGCCGCAGUACCUUGACUGUGCUAAGGUAGCGUAAUCAGUUGGCUUUUAAAUGGAGUCCAGAAUGAACGGGGCCAUGGGGAGAAGCUGUCUCUUUCUUGAUUAAUUUAAUUUGCUUAAUAGGUGAAAAUACCUUUUUGAAGAAAAAAGACGAGAAGACCCUUAGAGCCUAACAAUAUAAUAUGCUUUAUUUGUUUUUGUUGGGGCGACAAGAAGACAAUGUUAAAACUCUUCUUUUAUACUAAACGAUUAUAAUAUAUAAGAACAGGCUACCUUAGGGAUAACAGCAUAAUUAUUUAAUAGUUUGUGACCUCGAUGUUGGACUAGGAACUUGAUGACUAGUCGUCAAUAAAGGAAAGUUCUGUUCGAACUACUUUUUCCUACGUG